This is a long non-coding RNA of Lolium perenne, 723 nucleotides long. RefSeq lists it as uncharacterized. NCBI's taxonomy places the organism in Eukaryota, Viridiplantae, Streptophyta, Magnoliopsida, Poales, Poaceae. The record is from RefSeq and is a predicted model, not a curated record.
CAUUGGGUUCAUUGACCCGAACACAAUGCAUGUCAAAACCAUAGAUGAUCCCCUCUAUAACAAGGAUACACCGCAGACUUUGCUAAGGUUUUUGAAGCGACAACGUGACAAAAAGCUAAUACUUUGGCCUUACAACUUCGAGUUUCACUUUAUUCUUCUCGUCAUCAAUUUGGAAAUUGGAGAAGUUGAAGUCUUGGACUCACUAACCAAAGAAAAGGAUCUAUACGUGUCUUGUUUUUUAAUGCUCAGAAGCGUAUGGCAAACUUUCAUCAAGGAAGAUACGUCCCGUGAAUGGCCACCGAAGCUGCGAUGGCGUGCGAAAAAAUGCCCGCAACAACCUCCGGGGACCGAUCUCUGUGGAUUCUUCGUUUGCGAGUUCAUCCGCAGAAUUGUCAACGAGAGAACGAAUAAUGAGAGAAAUAAAGAGGUACAAAAACAAUCUUCACAAAUUUGUUUUGUUAUCAUAAGUUGUGCCGAGUUUCAGUAAUAGUUGUUUCAUGUAUUCAUUUGUAUCUUAUUCUUUUAUAGUUGGCAAGAAAGCGGAACAAGCUCUCAAUCGAUGACCGCUUCAUAGCAAUAGGCGAGGAAUUGGCGGGAUUUUUCCUUCGGGACGUCAUACCACCACUCGCAGAGCACCACAAUGAAUGAAGAUGUACAUGUUACAUAUAUCGUUGACUCGAAGAGUACCACUAUGCUACAUGUAAUAGACAUAUAUAGAGUACG